Musa acuminata AAA Group (dessert banana) is the source of this 1304-nucleotide RNA transcript. It is a transcript of the gene named protein yippee-like At4g27745, with no coding region annotated. Lineage: Eukaryota; Viridiplantae; Streptophyta; Magnoliopsida; Zingiberales; Musaceae. The record is from RefSeq and is a predicted model, not a curated record. The transcript has 6 exons.
AAGUUUAAAUAUAUGUGAGGGUCUACUUGAUCGUUACGACAUCGGCGGUCUCACAUAAUUUAUGCAACAUAAUCUUGAUUGAUUGCACGAAUUUGUCGCCUUCUUCUGCUGCCCGUCGUCCGAUUCUUCAAGCCCUCUCUUCACUCCAGUUCUUGAUGCCCUCCUUAUUUAAUCUUUCGACCCGACAUAGUUUUCCCUUUCCAUCGCUCGCGUUCAUCCCCACCAUUGUUUCCCCUCUUUCUUGCUCGAGUAACCUUCUUCCCCGAAUUCUAUCGCAUGUAAUUUUCUCUAUUGGCUAGUUUACUCUACUCCACCUAACCAUGUCACUUCUCGCCCGCGGUUUUGCUCUGGGCAGGCAUCCGAGCUGCCGCGAUCAAAUCCUUCCUCGGCAGAAGAAGGGCGGUCUCGAUCACCUGAGUGAGUCUUCGCUCCUUUGCCCUGUCGGUAGAGCCAGGAGGAACGGCUGGGCUGCCUUUGCGAUGGAAGGAUCGGUUGGGCCUCGAGUUUACAGCUGCAGCAAUUGUGGCAACCAUGUCUGCCUUCACGAUGAUAUCAUAUCAAAAGCAUUUCAUGUAAAUCCUGGGAGACAUGGUCGUGCCUUUCUGUUUUCUCAUGGGAGGAACAUAGUCAUGGGGCCGAAGCAAGAUCGGCUGCUCAUGACAGGAAUCCACACGGUUGCUGAUGUAUAUUGCCACGACUGCGGGGAGGUCUUGGGCUGGAAGUAUGAAAGAGCUUACGAGGAGAUACAAAGGUACAAGGAAGGGAAAUUUGUCUUUGAGAAAAUAAAGAUCGUCAAGGAGAAUUGGUAGCUACAUCGGGUGUUGGAGACACUUGACAUAUUUGUUGGAAGACGAGCAACUCGGAGGAGAAAGGAGAAGAUUCGAGAUGGGUGCUACCCAUGGUCAUGGAAGCCUGCAGACUUUGACCACCAUCCUCUUCCCUUGCAAUGGGCGUUAAGGAUCGAGUCAAGGUCUGCUUCCGAGUUGUAACUCAUUCAGCAAGCCGGAGAAGACUUUUCCGACGAGCGGACCGUUGACUAGAGCCACAAUCCAUGCCUGUCUUACAAGAUUAUUUCGUCAACUGCAGCUUGGUUGACUUCCCGGAAAGAGUCGACGCAGCGUUGCGCACUUGGCACGGCCACAAGGCGUCACUCACCCGGUUCCAGAUGUGUUCUUUUCUGGACGCCGACGGAGAAGAACGAAAUCAACCGACCCAAAAGUCCAAUUACAACGCCUUGACCAAAAGCCAUUCUCCUAUUGAUCUAUAUUAAUCGUAACUCGACUUCGCUUCCCCGUCGCUCGCGC